AGGGUUUGAUUCUGGCUCAGGAUGAACGCUGGCGGCGUGCUUAACACAUGCAAGUCGAACGAAGCAUUUUAAAAUGAGACUUCGGUGGAUUUUUAAAAUGACUGAGUGGCGGACGGGUGAGUAACGCGUGGGCAACCUGCCUUACACAGGGGGACAACAGUUAGAAAUAGCUGCUAAUACCGCAUAAGCGCACAGUACCGCAUGGUACCGUGUGAAAAACUCCGGUGGUGUAAGAUGGGCCCGCGUUGGAUUAGCUAGUUGGAGGGGUAACGGCCCACCAAGGCGACGAUCCAUAGCCGACCUGAGAGGGUGACCGGCCACAUUGGGACUGAGACACGGCCCAG
This 344-nucleotide ribosomal RNA is filed under the name uncultured bacterium. RNAcentral's name for it is "bacterial SSU rRNA". It matches the Rfam family "Bacterial small subunit ribosomal RNA", at positions 8 to 334 of the family's 1533-position model. The record is from RNAcentral.